Molecule: ribosomal RNA, 550 nt
Filed under: uncultured bacterium
Lineage: Bacteria
Description: bacterial SSU rRNA
Rfam family: Bacterial small subunit ribosomal RNA
Source: RNAcentral
UAGGGAAUCUUCGGCAAUGGGGGCAACCCUGACCGAGCAACGCCGCGUGAGUGAAGAAGGUUUUCGGAUCGUAAAGCUCUGUUGUAAGAGAAGAACGAGUGUGAGAGUGGAAAGUUCACACUGUGACGGUAACUUACCAGAAAGGGACGGCUAACUACGUGCCAGCAGCCGCGGUAAUACGUAGGUCCCGAGCGUUAUCCGGAUUUAUUGGGCGUAAAGCGAGCGCAGGCGGUUAGAUAAGUCUGAAGUUAAAGGCUGUGGCUUAACCAUAGUACGCUUUGGAAACUGUUUAACUUGAGUGCAGAAGGGGAGAGUGGAAUUCCAUGUGUAGCGGUGAAAUGCGUAGAUAUAUGGAGGAACACCGGUGGCGAAAGCGGCUCUCUGGUCUGUAACUGACGCUGAGGCUCGAAAGCGUGGGGAGCAAACAGGAUUAGAUACCCUGGUAGUCCACGCCGUAAACGAUGAGUGCUAGGUGUUGGGUCCUUUCCGGGACUCAGUGCCGCAGCUAACGCAUUAAGCACUCCGCCUGGGGGGUACGACCGCAAGGUUG